UACGUAGGGUGCAAGCGUUAAUCGGAAUUACUGGGCGUAAAGCGUGCGCAGGCGGUUUUGUAAGUCUGAUGUGAAAUCCCCGGGCUCAACCUGGGAAUUGCAGUGGAGACUGCAAGGCUAGAAUCUGGCAGAGGGGGGUAGAAUUCCACGUGUAGCAGUGAAAUGCGUAGAGAUGUGGAGGAACACCGAUGGCGAAGGCAGCCCCCUGGGUCAAGAUUGACGCUCAUGCACGAAAGCGUGGGGAGCAAACAGG
This 253-nucleotide ribosomal RNA is filed under the name uncultured bacterium. RNAcentral's name for it is "partial 16S ribosomal RNA". It matches the Rfam family "Bacterial small subunit ribosomal RNA", at positions 524 to 776 of the family's 1533-position model. The record is from RNAcentral.